UACGGAGGAUGCAGGCGUUAUCCGGAUUUAUUAGGUUUAAAGGGUGCGUAGGCGGGCCUUUAAGUCAGUGGUGAAAGUUUGCGGCUUAACCGUAAAAUUGCCAUUGAAACUGGAGGCCUUGAGUAUACAGGAAGUAGGCGGAAUGUGUAGUGUAGCGGUGAAAUGCUUAGAUAUUACACAGAACACCGAUUGCGAAGGCAGCUUACUAUAGUAUAACUGACGCUGAUGCACGAAAGCGUGGGGAGCGAACAGG
Molecule: ribosomal RNA, 253 nt
Filed under: uncultured bacterium
Lineage: Bacteria
Description: partial 16S ribosomal RNA
Rfam family: Bacterial small subunit ribosomal RNA
Source: RNAcentral